UAGGGAAUCCUCCACAAUGGACGCAAGUCUGAUGGAGCAACGCCGCGUGAGUGAAGAAGGCUUUCGGGUCGUAAAACUCUGUUAUUGAAGAAGAACGUGUGUGACAGUAACUGGUCAUGCAGUGACGGUAUUCAAUCAGAAAGUCACGGCUAACUACGUGCCAGCAGCCGCGGUAAUACGUAGGUGGCAAGCGUUGUCCGGAUUUAUUGGGCGUAAAGCGAGUGCAGGCGGUCUUUUAAGUCUGAUGUGAAAGCCUUCGGCUUAACCGAAGAAGGGCAUCGGAAACUGGGAGACUUGAGUGCAGAAGAGGAGAGUGGAACUCCAUGUGUAGCGGUGAAAUGCGUAGAUAUAUGGAAGAACACCAGUGGCGAAGGCGGCUCUCUGGUCUGUAACUGACGCUGAGGCUCGAAAGCGUGGGUAGCAAACAGGAUUAGAUACCCUGGUAGUCCACGCCGUAAAUGAUGAAUACUAAGUGUUGGAGGGUUUCCGCCCUUCAGUGCUGCAGCUAACGCAUUAAGUAUUCCGCCUGGGGAGUACGACCGCAAGGUUGAAAC
This 554-nucleotide ribosomal RNA is filed under the name uncultured bacterium. Its description in RNAcentral is "partial 16S ribosomal RNA". It matches the Rfam family "Bacterial small subunit ribosomal RNA", at positions 355 to 900 of the family's 1533-position model. The record is from RNAcentral.